CCGAGCGGACAGAUCGCGGUAGCUUGCCCCAUGAUGUUAGCGGCGGACGGGUGAGUAACACGUGGGUAACCUGCCUGUAAGACUGGGAUAACUCCGGGAAACCGGGGCUAAUACCGGAUGGUUGUCUGAACCGCAUGGUUCAGACAUAAAAGGUGGCUUCGGCUACCACUUACAGAUGGACCCGCGGCGCAUUAGCUAGUUGGUGAGGUAACGGCUCACCAAGGCGACGAUGCGUAGCCGACCUGAGAGGGUGAUCGGCCACACUGGGACUGAGACACGGCCCAGACUCCUACGGGAGGCAGCAGUAGGGAAUCUUCCGCAAUGGACGAAAGUCUGACGGAGCAACGCCACGUGAGUGAUGAAGGUUUUCGGAUCGUAAAGCUCUGUUGUUAGGGAAGAACAAGUGCCGUUCAAAUAGGGCGGCACCUUGACGGUACCUAACCAGAAAGCCACGGCUAACUACGUGCCAGCAGCCGCGGUAAUACGUAGGUGGCAAGCGUUGUCCGGAAUUAUUGGACGUAAAGGGCUCGCAGGCNGUUUCUGAAGUCUGAUGUGAAAGCCCCCGGCUCACCCGGGGAGGGUCAUUGGAAACUGGGGAACUUGAGUGCAUAAGAGGAGAGUGAAAUGCCACGAAUACCGGUGAAAUGCGUAGAGAUGUGUAGGAACACCAGUGGCGAAGGCGACUCUCUGGUCUGUAACUGACGCUGAGGAGCGAAAGCGUGGGGAGCGAACAGGAUUAGAUACCCUGGUAGUCCACGUCGUAAACGAUGAGUGCUAAGUGUUAGGGGGUUUCCGCCCCUUAGUGCUGCAGCUAACGCAUUAAACACUCCGCCUGGGGAGUCCGGCCGCGAGGGUGA
RNAcentral lists this ribosomal RNA (857 nucleotides) under Bacillus amyloliquefaciens. Its description in RNAcentral is "bacterial SSU rRNA". It matches the Rfam family "Bacterial small subunit ribosomal RNA", at positions 62 to 897 of the family's 1533-position model. Lineage: Bacteria; Bacillati; Bacillota; Bacilli; Caryophanales; Bacillaceae. The record is from RNAcentral.